CUCCAGUUCCUCUUUCUGUGUUGCUAAUGAAAUGGCUUGCGGUAACUUCAGUGGUGCAGGCAGGAUGUCCCUGAUUGGAUUCAACAACAAACAAUGUGAGGAAGUAACAAUGCAUCUGUCAUGAGCACGCGACGAAGAACAGGACCCAAAUGCAGGACUCCCAAGCGAGGACUUGAUGUUGAGGGUUUUUUCGCCCAUUCAAGAGACAAACUCAAGCCUUAAAUGCCUGGUCUAAUUAGCGUCCAUACAGCGCAGGACAUUGGAUUGAUCCAGAACAGUCCAGUUGAGAUCGAAUCAAUGACCUGAGAAUUUCCAUGAAAGUGUUUGUGUGUCUUUUACCUGCUGACACAGUAGAAGGAGAUGAGUUUGUAAAUGUUAUCAAACACCAU
Long non-coding RNA from Syngnathoides biaculeatus (alligator pipefish), 389 nucleotides. RefSeq lists it as uncharacterized. The record is from RefSeq and is a predicted model, not a curated record. NCBI's taxonomy places the organism in Eukaryota, Metazoa, Chordata, Actinopteri, Syngnathiformes, Syngnathidae. The transcript is spliced from 3 exons.